AGAUUGAACGCUGGCGGCAUGCCUAACACAUGCAAGUCGAGCGGCAGCGCGGGGGGCGACCCUGGCGGCGAGCGGCGGACGGGUGAGUAAUGCGUAGGAAUCUGUCUUUUAGUGGGGGACAACCCAGGGAAACUUGGGCUAAUACCGCAUGAGCCCUGAGGGGGAAAGCGGGGGAUCUUCGGACCUCGCGCUAAGAGAAGACCGCCUACGUCUGAUUAGCUAGUUGGUAGGGUAAAGGCCUACCAAGGCGACGAUCAGUAGCUGGUCUGAGAGGACGACCAGCCACACUGGGACUGAGACACGGCCCAGACUCCUACGGAGGCAGC
Molecule: ribosomal RNA, 326 nt
Filed under: uncultured prokaryote
Description: bacterial SSU rRNA
Rfam family: Bacterial small subunit ribosomal RNA
Source: RNAcentral